This 474-nucleotide ribosomal RNA is filed under the name uncultured bacterium. RNAcentral's name for it is "bacterial SSU rRNA". It matches the Rfam family "Bacterial small subunit ribosomal RNA", at positions 368 to 832 of the family's 1533-position model. The record is from RNAcentral.
GCAAUGCCCGAAAGGGUGACGAAGCGACGCCGCGUGCGGGAAGAAGGCCUUCGGGUUGUAAACCGCUGUCGGGAGUUAAGAAAUGUAAGGAUGUUAAUAGCAUCUUUGCUUGACUAAGGCUCCGGAGGAAGCCACGGCUAACUCUGUGCCAGCAGCCGCGGUAAUACAGAGGCGGCAAGCGUUGUUCGGAAUUAUUGGGCGUAAAGAGCACGUAGGCGGCUAUGUAAGUCGGUUGUGAAAGCCUUCCGCUCAACGGGAGAACAGCAUCCGAUACUGCAUGGCUUGAGUGCGGGAGGGGAGAGUGGAACUUCUGGUGGAGCGGUGAAAUGCGUAGAUAUCAGAAGGAACGCCGGCGGCGAAAGCGGCUCUCUGGCCCAUAACUGACGCUGAGUGUGCGAAAGCUAGGGGAGCAAACGGGAUUAGAUACCCCGGUAGUCCUAGCCGUAAACGAUGGGCACUAAGUAGAGGGGUUUU